This 573-nucleotide ribosomal RNA is filed under the name uncultured bacterium. RNAcentral describes it as "bacterial SSU rRNA". It matches the Rfam family "Bacterial small subunit ribosomal RNA", at positions 338 to 873 of the family's 1533-position model. The record is from RNAcentral.
CCUACGGGAGGCAGCAGUGGGGAAUUUUGGACAAUGGGCGAAAGCCUGAUCCAGCAAUGCCGCGUGUGGGAAGAAGGCCUUCGGGUUGUAAACCACUUUUGUACGGAACGAAACGGUUCGCUUUAAUACAGUGGGCUAAUGACGGUACCGUAAGAAUAAGCACCGGCUAACUACGUGCCAGCAGCCGCGGUAAUACGUAGGGUGCGAGCGUUAAUCGGAAUUACUGGGCGUAAAGCGUGCGCAGGCGGUUAUAUAAGACAGUUGUGAAAUCCCCGGGNUCAACCUGGGAAUUGCAUCUGUGACUGUAUAGCUAGAGUACGGUAGAGGGGGAUGGAAUUCCGCGUGUAGCAGUGAAAUGCGUAGAUAUGCGGAGGAACACCGAUGGCGAAGGCAAUCCCCUGGACCUGUACUGACGCUCAUGCACGAAAGCGUGGGGAGCAAACAGGAUUAGAUACCCUGGUAGUCCACGCCCUAAACGACUGUCAACUGGUUGUUGGGUGCAUUAGUACUCAGUAACGAAGCUAACGCGUGAAGUUGACCGCUGGGAUGGCGCAGUUGAACUCAAGGAUGACG